Molecule: ribosomal RNA, 449 nt
Filed under: uncultured Bacteroidales bacterium
Lineage: Bacteria; Pseudomonadati; Bacteroidota; Bacteroidia; Bacteroidales
Description: bacterial SSU rRNA
Rfam family: Bacterial small subunit ribosomal RNA
Source: RNAcentral
GAAAGACUUGCUUCCUUCGUCCGGCGACCGGCGCACGGUGGAGUAACACGUAUGCAACCUCGCCCUCUUCUACGGGGGACGAACCUUCCGAAACGGGAAGGCGUAAUCCCGCGUAUAUCGGUUUCGGGUCGAUCCGAGAUCGAGGAAAGAUUCAUCGGAAGAGGAUGGGCAUGCGGCGCAUUAGCUUGACGGCGGGGUAACGGCCCACCGUGGCGACGAUGCGUAGGGGUUCUGAGAGGAAGGUCCCCCACACUGGUACUGAGACACGGACCAGACUCCUACGGGAGGCAGCAGUGAGGAAUAUUGGUCAAUGGGAGAGAUCCUGAACCAGCCAAGCCGCGUGAGGGAAGACGGCCCUAUGGGUUGUAAACCCCUUUUAUCGGAGAACAAAACCCGGGACGUGUCCCGGACUGCGUGUAUCCGAAGAAAAAGCAUCGGCUAACUCCGUG